GCGAACGUGGUGGAACUGGUAGACACGCUAUCUUGAGGGGGUAGUGCCUAAUCGGUGUGCGGGUUCAAAUCCCGCCGUUCGCACCA
Molecule: transfer RNA, 86 nt
Filed under: Pseudomonadota bacterium
Lineage: Bacteria; Pseudomonadati; Pseudomonadota
Description: Proteobacteria bacterium tRNA-Leu
Rfam family: tRNA
About the family: Transfer RNA (tRNA) molecules are approximately 80 nucleotides in length.
Source: RNAcentral